AUCACGAUUGAACAUUACGUACGUUUCUCUAGUCCUGCAACACGAUUAUAAACUAUCCAAAUUUUACUUUGCAUUAUGAUAUUCAUUCAUUUUAAUUUUACCAAUCAAUUUCAUCAUUUAAAUUUAACAAGAACAUCAAAAGAAUAUGUCCUGUAAACAACUAAUAUCGAAUGAUCAAAUAACAAGAGCUUUCCUUCAAAUUCUGUUAAUGUUAUCUUUAAUUUAUUUUUAUCAUUCAACAUAUUAAAAAGUUUACAUUUUUAAGAAACUUAAUAACAUUAUAAACCCAACAAUAAAAUUAAUUUUUUUCUCAUAUCUCAUAACGGAUGUACGAAAUGGAAGUAUAGGAUUAAUUAAAACCUAACGCGCCAUCUUGCAGUACCGUUCAGAAAUACGCAGCAAGAAAACAAUUUAUCGCCAUCAUGCUCAGUAUCGUGCCGUCUCUGCUUUUCUUAUGGCGUUUCAAAUUGUUACGUGCGAAUCAUGAUAGAUUUUGUGAAAGCAAAAACAAAUUGUUAUAUCUCGUAUUCACAUACAAAAAAUAUUAUAAAGAAAAAUAGAGAAUCAGCAACAUUGUAGAUGGAAUAUUAUUCCAUGUAAAAGAAAAGAGUACAUAUCUCUUUCCCUGUCUGCCUGACUCUUUGUAUGAUCCAUUCGACGAACAUCCGGCAUCUCAUGAUGUACUUUGAACCGCCGGAAUAACGACGGACACGAAAGAGCACAGUCUUGAGAAUAACGUCUUACCAACCAAACAACGAUAUAACUACCAUGAUUGUAAAAAAGGUGUGCUCCUCUAUGGGCUCGUUUUCGUUCAGUUCGCGCAUUACCAUGCUCAACGUCAUGAUGCUAACCUAACUGACAAUAUGCUUUGCGAAUUAUAAUUUCUUUUACGUGAUAUUAAUAAUUAGUGUAAUGGAUUCGUCUACUAGUUUAGGUACCAUAUGCUUGUUAUCAAUUUAUAUUAAUAAUAGAAUAAUUUCUUGCAAAAUCAAAUGUUAAUGAUAUUUUCAAUCUUUCAAUUUUUCAUAUAAAACUUUUUCUUUAAAAUGACAUAUACUAAAUGACUAUAUGUCAUUUAACAACAUUCAUUGACUUAUAAAUGACAUAUAAUUUGUAUUCAUUUUUCACACACUUUUCAGCAUAUUUUCUUAUUUAAAUUUAUUAUCAUUUUAAUUUCUUCUUAAAAUCAUGUUUCAUUUAUAUCGCAGAUUACGAUAUAUGCCAGGUAAAAAGAAAAAUAUAAUUUAUAUUUAGAAAAUUUAAUCAAAUAGAAGAUUCUAAAUGAUUCACAUUUUGUAUCUACCGCUUUUUCUAACAUAAGGAUUCCGAGCGAUCUGAUUUGUCGAGUUGAAUAUCUAUAUACAGCCACUCAGAGGCCUUUCUUUUUAUAACACAACGUGAUUACUACAAGGCCUUCGGAGUGUGUAACUUUAACAUACUAAGAAUUUUACUACUUCUUACGAUAUCGAAGAUAUAGAUGAAAAAAAAAAUUUUUUUCUAUAAAAAUAUGUUGUAGAGAUAAAGACGAAAAAAAACGAGAUAAAUUAUAUGAAUUUUCAAGAUAUAUAGCUGGAGAUUAAACUACUAUAUACAUACAGUUUAGUAGAUAAAAUCAACAUAAUUCAAAGUUCGGACAUCUUUGCAAGAUAAUAGCAAAUUAAAUUGUUUAUUUUGUCCUAAUCAAUCUUCUUUUGUGUCUUCGAUUUGUUUUAUCUUCAACUCAACCUCUCUUAUCAAUAUCUAACUUCUUUUCUAGUAAAUGUAUUUACUUUCGUAAAAGAUAAAAAGAAAUUCUUGAGAAAAGAUAAAUAUAUUUGUUCCCUAUUAUUUAUGUUCUUUGGUAAUAAUUCGUGCACAUAUUUACACAAAACGGAAUUUAAAUUUAUCUUUGUACUGUAUACACAUUCAUAGCCUGAAUAUUUUUUAUUCAAAGCCUGAAUAUUUUUUUGCAUAUAUUAUAAGUAAUAAUUUAUUUUAGAUCUUGUUAAUUCUAAAAUUAAUUCUUUCCUCAUUAUUUAUUAGAUUAGAUAAUAGUUUAACUAAGUAGAAAGAUAUUCUAUAAUGCUAUUAACAGGACUAACGUCAACUUUAACUUUAUAUACAUUACGAGCUAUACAUUAUUUCCUAGCCAUAAUAUCUUCAAGCGAAUUAUUUCAUAUGUAUUUUAAUUACUGUUCUAUUCAUAAUAAGUCUUCAAAUUCUAAUAUUUUGUUGAAUAAAUAUAAACGGCAAUAUUUUUCUUUUGCGUUAAGAGCAAGAAUAUUAUUAAAGGAAGUUUAUAAAUGUAACAUAAACUAAAUUUAAUAAACUUAUGUAACGAAAUGCUAUUGGAACCAUCAAAAUUCUAAUGAACUUAUUCACAGCUUGCAAAUAGUUAUUUCAGAAGAUUCAUAACCUCACAACUCAUUAAAGAAUAUUUGUAAGCGAUGAAUACAAAUAUAUAGAAUAAAAUUGACGUCGUAUCUAACAA
Long non-coding RNA from Vespa crabro (European hornet), 2470 nucleotides. RefSeq lists it as uncharacterized. The record is from RefSeq and is a predicted model, not a curated record. NCBI's taxonomy places the organism in Eukaryota, Metazoa, Arthropoda, Insecta, Hymenoptera, Vespidae. The transcript has 2 exons.